AAGAAAGUCAUAGUGGCUAUGGGGUUGGCUUGAAACCAGCUAUAGAGGGUUCGAUUCCUUCCUUUCUUA
This 69-nucleotide transfer RNA is filed under the name Propithecus verreauxi (white sifaka). RNAcentral describes it as "tRNA-Ser". It matches the Rfam family "tRNA". From Rfam's summary of the family: Transfer RNA (tRNA) molecules are approximately 80 nucleotides in length. Their secondary structure includes four short double-helical elements and three loops (D, anti-codon, and T loops). The record is from RNAcentral. Lineage: Eukaryota; Metazoa; Chordata; Mammalia; Primates; Indriidae.